RNAcentral lists this ribosomal RNA (663 nucleotides) under uncultured bacterium. RNAcentral's name for it is "bacterial SSU rRNA". It matches the Rfam family "Bacterial small subunit ribosomal RNA", at positions 233 to 916 of the family's 1533-position model. The record is from RNAcentral.
GCGUCUGAUUAGCUAGUUGGUAAGGUAACGGCUUACCAAGGCGACGAUCAGUAGCCGACCUGAGAGGGUGAUCGGCCACAUUGGAACUGAGACACGGUCCAAACUCCUACGGGAGGCAGCAGUGGGGAAUAUUGCACAAUGGGCGAAAGCCUGAUGCAGCAACGCCGCGUGAGCGAUGAAGGCCUUCGGGUCGUAAAGCUCUGUCCUCAAGGAAGAUAAUGACGGUACUUGAGGAGGAAGCCCCGGCUAACUACGUGCCAGCAGCCGCGGUAAUACGUAGGGGGCUAGCGUUAUCCGGAAUUACUGGGCGUAAAGGGUGCGUAGGUGGUUUCUUAAGUCAGAGGUGAAAGGCUACGGCUCAACCGUAGUAGCCUUUGAAACUGGGAAACUUGAGUGCAGGAGAGGAGAGUGGAAUUCCUAGUGUAGCGGUGAAAUGCGUAGAUAUUAGGAGGAACACCAGUUGCGAAGGCGGCUCUCUGGACUGUAACUGACACUGAGGCACGAAAGCGUGGGGAGCAAACAGGAUUAGAUACCCUGGUAGUCCACGCCGUAAACGAUGAGUACUAGCUGUCGGAGGUUACCCCCUUCGGUGGCGCAGCUAACGCAUUAAGUACUCCGCCUGGGAAGUACGCUCGCAAGAGUGAAACUCAAAGGAAUUGACGG